GAUGAACGCUGGCGGCGUGCCUAAUACUUGCAAGUCGAGCGAACAGACGAGGAGCUUGCUCCUCUGACGUUAGCGGCGGACGGGUGAGUAACACGUGGAUAACCUACCUAUAAGACUGGGAUAACUUCGGGAAACCGGAGCUAAUACCGGAUAAUAUAUUGAACCGCAUGGUUCAAUAGUGAAAGACGGUUUUGCUGUAACUUAUAGAUGGAUCCGCGCCGCAUUAGCUAGUUGGUAAGGUAACGGCUUACCAAGGCGACGAUGCGUAGCCGACCUGGGAGGGUGAUCGGCCAGACUGGAACUGAGACACGGUCCAGAAUCCUACGGGAGGCAGCAGUAGGGAAGCUUCCGCAAUGGGCGAAAGCCUGACGGAGCAACGCCGCGUGAUUGAUGAAGCUCUUCGGAUCGUAAAACUCUGUUAUUAGGGAAGAACAAUUGUGUAAGUAACUAUGCUCGUCUUGACGGUACCUAAUCAGAAAGCCACGGCUAACUACGUG
Molecule: ribosomal RNA, 497 nt
Filed under: uncultured bacterium
Lineage: Bacteria
Description: partial 16S ribosomal RNA
Rfam family: Bacterial small subunit ribosomal RNA
Source: RNAcentral